This 875-nucleotide long non-coding RNA is filed under the name Nicotiana benthamiana. Its description in RNAcentral is "long non-coding RNA (NBEN_LNC004703)". The record is from RNAcentral. Lineage: Eukaryota; Viridiplantae; Streptophyta; Magnoliopsida; Solanales; Solanaceae.
AAAUGAUAUAUAGUUUUGUUGUAGAUUAAAUGUAGAAAAUAAGCCAUUGUGAGUCUUAUUUGACUCAUUUCUCACAUUCAACUUAUUCUACAAAUUCACACCUCUUUAAAUGCAAUACAACCAUACUCUCUUGAAUUUAAAGGUAUAGCAAUAUAUAUAACUUAAAAAACAUCUUCUCCUCUGCACAAGUUAGCUCCAAAACAGAAGAAGUGGAAUAAGAAGCUCCCAUCAAUACUUUUAACACAAAACACAAAGCUCAAUAAACAACAGUUUAUAAUUUUUCUUGAAUUUAUCUAUAAUUUCUGCAAUAUAAUGAAUGUAAUGUCGUCUUCUUCUUCUUCGGAUUUUAAUCUGAAAUUCAGCCAAAAUCAAGUCUAAUCUUCACCAAAACCCCUCAAAAUUGAGAUAUAAACUCCAAAUCAUAUUUUCAAUUAUUUACAACAACACCAAAUCCAAAUAAAUCAUGAUUUUUGAAAACCCAAAUUUGAAUUCGAAGCUUCAAAACUUUUUAAUGGCUAACAAUGGUGGAAUUGCUGCUCUCUUUUCCUUUUCUCUUAUAUUAAUGAAGAAACCUGAAAUCAUAACCAUCAAGAGUUAUUGUUGUGUAUGAAACUUUGAAGAUUUGACUUCAAUUUUAACUGGUUGUAGAAGAAAAAACCUUGAUUUUGGACGUUAAUGGUAGAGAGUUUCAAUUAUUUUUCGGGAUUUAGCAUAGGGUUUCAAUUGUUUUCUGGUUUCUGGGUGUGUGGUGAUAAGUGGGUGAGGAUGUAGGGCUGAGAGAGAGAAAUGUGGGGGGAGGGGAGGGGGGAUUUGGAGGAAUAUACGGUACCAUAAAUUUAGGAGUAAUAUAAGGUACAAUUAAUGUACAAUUAAAA